GUUUAAUUUGCUGUGCUUUCAGGUUUCACAGGUGUUGAUGAUCCGUACGAGCCACCACUAAAUGCAGAGAUAGUAUUACGUCAAAGAGAAGAGAAGUAUGAUUCUCCAACUCAUUUGGCCGAAAUAGUUAUUUCAUACUUGGAGAAAAAAGCUUACUUGGAAGCAUAACUUGCUAUUGCAAGUAGCCGUUCUCAUGCAAUUAAAAAAACGCCGUGUUUUCUUUUUUUGCAUUUUUGUUGUAAUUAUUUAAUAGAUCAGUCAAUUUUUUAGCAGUUUAAUAAAUGUAAUAAAUUGUGAAAAAUAAAGUGUGGAGCUUUCUCCUUUUUACUGCC
Olea europaea var. sylvestris is the source of this 332-nucleotide long non-coding RNA. RefSeq lists it as uncharacterized. The record is from RefSeq and is a predicted model, not a curated record. NCBI's taxonomy places the organism in Eukaryota, Viridiplantae, Streptophyta, Magnoliopsida, Lamiales, Oleaceae. The transcript has 2 exons.